This 718-nucleotide ribosomal RNA is filed under the name Pseudomonas sp. RNAcentral's name for it is "bacterial SSU rRNA". It matches the Rfam family "Bacterial small subunit ribosomal RNA", at positions 34 to 745 of the family's 1533-position model. The record is from RNAcentral. Lineage: Bacteria; Pseudomonadati; Pseudomonadota; Gammaproteobacteria; Pseudomonadales; Pseudomonadaceae.
CGCUGGCGGCAGGCCUAACACAUGCAAGUCGAGCGGCAGCACGGGUACUUGUACCUGGUGGCGAGCGGCGGACGGGUGAGUAAUGCCUAGGAAUCUGCCUGGUAGUGGGGGAUAACGUUCGGAAACGAACGCUAAUACCGCAUACGUCCUACGGGAGAAAGCAGGGGACCUUCGGGCCUUGCGCUAUCAGAUGAGCCUAGGUCGGAUUAGCUAGUUGGUGAGGUAAUGGCUCACCAAGGCGACGAUCCGUAACUGGUCUGAGAGGAUGAUCAGUCACACUGGAACUGAGACACGGUCCAGACUCCUACGGGAGGCAGCAGUGGGGAAUAUUGGACAAUGGGCGAAAGCCUGAUCCAGCCAUGCCGCGUGUGUGAAGAAGGUCUUCGGAUUGUAAAGCACUUUAAGUUGGGAGGAAGGGCAGUUACCUAAUACGUAAUUGUUUUGACGUUACCGACAGAAUAAGCACCGGCUAACUCUGUGCCAGCAGCCGCGGUAAUACAGAGGGUGCAAGCGUUAAUCGGAAUUACUGGGCGUAAAGCGCGCGUAGGUGGUUCGUUAAGUUGGAUGUGAAAUCCCCGGGCUCAACCUGGGAACUGCAUUCAAAACUGUCGAGCUAGAGUAUGGUAGAGGGUGGUGGAAUUUCCUGUGUAGCGGUGAAAUGCGUAGAUAUAGGAAGGAACACCAGUGGCGAAGGCGACCACCUGGACUGAUACUGACA